This is a long non-coding RNA of Haplochromis burtoni (Burton's mouthbrooder), 1022 nucleotides long. RefSeq lists it as uncharacterized. The record is from RefSeq and is a predicted model, not a curated record. NCBI's taxonomy places the organism in Eukaryota, Metazoa, Chordata, Actinopteri, Cichliformes, Cichlidae. The transcript is spliced from 3 exons.
AAUGAAUGAGGUGGAUUGUUCAGUGUAUAUUAAUUAUUUAUUUUCAUUUUACUUAAAAUAUAUGUUUUUGUUAAGUUAACAUAUGUUUUUCUAAUCAAGUCUACGUAAUUGUGUCUAUUAUUCAACGUACAUAAUACUAAUGUGUUACUUGAUCGCAUAACAUUUAAGUUAAGUCAAUUAGGAUCGAUAUACCUUGUAUAUCCACAAGGUGGCAGUAAUGCAAAAACAGUUGUAAUGAAACCGCGCAGAACAAGAAGGUUUCACGGCUUGUGCCUGCUCAUGCGCAAGACUUCAAAUUUAACUGAAAAAGGCUGUUUUGGCGCCAAGCUGCUGUUUCUUUGAGAGAUCCUGCCUUUACCUGCUCCCUCCUAUACUGAUGUGGUGUAUGUGGUACUGCUGAGCUUGUAUGUGGUGGAAGCAGAAUAUGUGAGGAUUACUACUGCUGCACAUGUUCCAAGGCUUUUUACACAACUUGACCAAUACACUGACCAGCUCAUAAAAGUCUUCAAGAAAAAAGGAGGCGUUGCAGGGAAGAAAAUUAGACAAACUUUGGCCCCAGCCACACAGGUGCGUUAUUCUGUUGGUAGCAAAAUAUUAUGGCUAAUAAGAUCAUUUUCAAAUUUAAACAGCUAGUGUAUGGUAGCUGCACAGUGCACUUACAUUUAUAUUAAGCAAGACAAAGUUUGGUACUCAAAACGUUGGAAAAUUUAAAUUACCUAAACAUAUGUAAAAUCUGAUCCCUUGAUUUAGGUUAAACCAGAAGUGAAUGUUUUUAUGUUAUGUUUUGAAUGCAAAAAAGAUGAUGUAUUAGUUUGUCUUUACCUCCAUUAUGGACAUAUAUAAUGUGGUGGAAACCCUGCCCAACAGGUUAACUAUUCAUGUCCAUGUGAUGAUUAGUUGGUCUUGUGUACAUGUCUAUCUGUGCAGUGGAUAUGUCAUUCAUUUUGCGUAUAAUGUGAGUUUCUGUCAUCCUAAAGUAUAUCUGUUUUCUCUUCCUGUAUCUCUGCCACUCUCUACAGAAG